This 60-nucleotide transfer RNA is filed under the name Clostridia bacterium. Its description in RNAcentral is "tRNA-Met". It matches the Rfam family "tRNA", at positions 9 to 64 of the family's 71-position model. Rfam says of the family: Transfer RNA (tRNA) molecules are approximately 80 nucleotides in length. Their secondary structure includes four short double-helical elements and three loops (D, anti-codon, and T loops). Further hydrogen bonds mediate the characteristic L-shaped molecular structure. tRNAs have two regions of fundamental functional importance: the anti-codon, which is responsible for specific mRNA codon recognition, and the 3' end, to which the tRNAs corresponding amino acid is attached (by aminoacyl-tRNA synthetases). tRNAs cope with the degeneracy of the genetic code in two manners: having more than one tRNA (with a specific anti-codon) for a particular amino acid; and 'wobble' base-pairing, i.e. permitting non-standard base-pairing at the 3rd anti-codon position. Lineage: Bacteria; Bacillati; Bacillota; Clostridia. The record is from RNAcentral.
AGAGCAGUCCGGUAGCUCGUCGGGCUCAUAACCCGGAGGUCAUGUGGUUCAAAUCCCAUC